Molecule: long non-coding RNA, 223 nt
Filed under: Gallus gallus (chicken)
Lineage: Eukaryota; Metazoa; Chordata; Aves; Galliformes; Phasianidae
Source: RNAcentral
GGAGAAACUCCGUGCUUCAUGGAGCUGUAGAAAAGUUACUGUAACAUCUGGAGGGAACUAACUCUUCUGCUCAGCAAGCAGCAGGUCACGUAAAGCUUGGGUCCGAAGAACAAGGCGUAAGGAUUCAAUGUGGUCUCAGGAACCUGAGCUUCUAAAUUUCUACUCGUUCAUGUCUCAUUCUCAUCUUCACAUUCCCUAUGUAAAACCUAAUCAGAUGCAAGAG